Molecule: ribosomal RNA, 604 nt
Filed under: uncultured bacterium
Lineage: Bacteria
Description: bacterial SSU rRNA
Rfam family: Bacterial small subunit ribosomal RNA
Source: RNAcentral
AUGGAUACACUUAGUGGCGGACGGGUGAGUAACGCGUGGGUACCUGCCUCACACUGGGGGAUAACAGUUAGAAAUAGCUGCUAAUACCGCAUAAGUCCGCAUGGAAAAAACUCCGGUGGUGUGAGAUGGACCCGCGUCUGAUUAGCCAGUUGGCGGGGUAACGGCCCACCAAAGCGACGAUCAGUAGCCGGCCUGAGAGGGUGAACGGCCACAUUGGGACUGAGACACGGCCCAAACUCCUACGGGAGGCAGCAGUGGGGAAUAUUGCACAAUGGGGGAAACCCUGAUGCAGCGACGCCGCGUGAGUGAAGAAGUAUUUCGGUAUGUAAAGCUCUAUCAGCAGGGAAGAAGUGACGGUACCUGAAUAAGAAGCCCCGGCUAACUACGUGCCAGCAGCCGCGGUAAUACGUAGGGGGCAAGCGUUAUCCGGAUUUACUGGGUGUAAAGGGAGCGUAGACGGCAAGGCAAGUCUGAAGUGAAAGCCCGGUGCUUAACGCCGGGACUGCUUUGGAAACUGUUUAGCUGGAGUGCCGGAGAGGUAAGCGGAAUUCCUAGUGUAGCGGUGAAAUGCGUGGAUAUUAGGAAGAACACCAGUGGCGAAGGC